Molecule: transfer RNA, 71 nt
Filed under: Stegodyphus mimosarum
Lineage: Eukaryota; Metazoa; Arthropoda; Arachnida; Araneae; Eresidae
Rfam family: tRNA
About the family: Transfer RNA (tRNA) molecules are approximately 80 nucleotides in length. Their secondary structure includes four short double-helical elements and three loops (D, anti-codon, and T loops).
Source: Rfam by way of RNAcentral
GCUUUCGUGGUGUAACGGUAACACACUCGGCACGUAUUCGAGAGGUCCAGGUUCGAAUCCCGGAGAAGGCG